This is a long non-coding RNA of Ailuropoda melanoleuca (giant panda), 753 nucleotides long. RefSeq lists it as uncharacterized. Lineage: Eukaryota; Metazoa; Chordata; Mammalia; Carnivora; Ursidae. The transcript has 3 exons. The record is from RefSeq and is a predicted model, not a curated record.
GUGCAGGCAGGAAGGAGAAGCCACCAGCACCGUUCCAGCCUUACAACUGUGACAGCCACCUGGUACCCCCGCCGCCUCCAGCUCCCCUAACCCGGGAAACGGAAGACUUCACAAACACUUGAGUCCCACCCGAUUCUAAUGAAACUCCACCUGCUCUGCCCCCUCCCCCACCAGUGCCCGUCCAUGGCAACUGGUCAGCACUGCAACAUUCCAACUGGUGCCCAGCCUGUGUGGGCAGGAGGCAGGGAGGCAGACAGCAAGGGGUUAGAGCUCAUAAUGUACAUCCAGUAUUGAACCCUAAUAGAGAAACUGCCAGGAGCCAAGUGUGGCUACUAGGAAAACCAUAUCUCCAUGAGUGGCUCACAUCACACUGUUCCUGGAUCGUGCUGUGCCUGCCCCAUACAAUCAGGAGGACCACGGUCUGCGCUCUGAGGAGCUCCCACCCUGUGCCCGCAUACCUCUGUGCCCCUGCCAACACAGCCCCUCUGCAGGAGGCCCUCUCCCCCUGCACUGUCGCCUGCCUGGUGCGCUCGCUCUCAUCCUUGGUCAGCCCCUGUGUGCAACCAGCAGCAGCCUUCCUGGACUGAAGGCUCCCUCCUCGGCACUGUCUAAGCACUUGGUUUACGCCCCUCCUGCAGCAGUGACCAGGGGCCAGGAACCAGCGGGGGCUCUUAUGUCCCCACUGUGCUGUGCGCUCCCAGGGAAUGGCAACUGUUGUCUUGCUAGUAAAAAUAUUCCCCUGGGUUGGCAUGG